UCUCCAAUAGUAUAGUGGCUAGUAUCUCCGCCUGUCACGCGGAAGACCAGGGUUCGAUUCCCUGUUGGAGAG
This is a transfer RNA of Salpingoeca sp., 72 nucleotides long. It matches the Rfam family "tRNA". Rfam says of the family: Transfer RNA (tRNA) molecules are approximately 80 nucleotides in length. Their secondary structure includes four short double-helical elements and three loops (D, anti-codon, and T loops). Lineage: Eukaryota; Choanoflagellata; Craspedida; Salpingoecidae. The record is from Rfam.